RNAcentral lists this unclassified non-coding RNA (897 nucleotides) under Hevea brasiliensis (rubber tree). The record is from RNAcentral. Lineage: Eukaryota; Viridiplantae; Streptophyta; Magnoliopsida; Malpighiales; Euphorbiaceae.
GCUACAAAAGCUUUGUGAUAAGGUAUGCACCAUGCAUUCUCUUUUUCUGUUUUAAUUUUGUAUUAUAAUUAUUUUUAUUAAUUGUAAAAAUUAUUUUGACUAUGCCAUCUGACAAAUGAGGGUUUUAUGAAAGAGGAUAAAAAAAAGCAACAUCCUAAUUGUACCAUGCAGCACUUUUGAAAUAAAGGUGGAUCCUUGCGGAAUUCUAAUAUAUCAUGAUGCCAAAUGUUAUGCAAUUUCAUCGUCAACAUUUUAAAAUAAACUACAUGAUAAGUUGGGAUGUUUUAAAGUUUCUCUGAAAAUGGUACUGUGUGAACGCUACAAAGAAAUAGAGUAAGAGGAUAAUCAGAGAAUGUUGUUAAUAAAAGGUUUCCUAUAUAUAUAGCACGUGAAAUUGUGUUACUGUUGAAUGCUUCAUCAAGAUAAAGCUUGGGCAUUAUCAUAUGCUGCUUCUGAUUAGCUGUAACAAAUCAUAAACUGCAUAGGCUACUUUAUCCUUCUUCAUUACCUUGACCUUGAUCCUUUUGCCUUUGCAGGACUUUAUGUUUUUAUUUCACUUUGUUGUAUAGAUUGAUUAAUGUCUCUGCAUAUAUUGGAGCUGUUCCUGAUUGACAUGGCAUCCAUUCUUGUUGAUUUUCUUGCCCAGAGAAGUGAUGCUUCAGUUUGACACCAUGCUAUACACAUUUAUGAACUUAUUUUUCUCUAAAAAAGUACCAUUCUGAAAAUUUUGUAUAUCUAUUUCUUACUUCCAAUUAAGAAACUUAAAAUGCUAAUGAUAUUUAAUGCAAUCGUUGAAUAUUUCUUAAUUUUUUUACAUCCUACAAAAUUUAGGUUAACACCUUUUUUAGCUGAAUUUCUGUUUGAUGAUAUGUGAAGGUUCCCUCAUUUCCAGAUGAU